RNAcentral lists this ribosomal RNA (492 nucleotides) under uncultured bacterium. Its description in RNAcentral is "partial 16S ribosomal RNA". It matches the Rfam family "Bacterial small subunit ribosomal RNA", at positions 29 to 507 of the family's 1533-position model. The record is from RNAcentral.
AGUGAACGCUGGCGGUAGGCCUAACACAUGCAAGUCGAACGGCAGCACAGUAAGAGCUUGCUCUUGCGGGUGGCGAGUGGCGGACGGGUGAGGAAUACAUCGGAAUCUACUUUUUCGUGGGGGAUAACGUAGGGAAACUUACGCUAAUACCGCAUACGACCUACGGGUGAAAGCAGGGGAUCUUCGGACCUUGCGCGAUUGAAUGAGCCGAUGUCGGAUUAGCUAGUUGGCGGGGUAAAGGCCCACCAAGGCGACGAUCCGUAGCUGGUCUGAGAGGAUGAUCAGCCACACUGGAACUGAGACACGGUCCAGACUCCUACGGGAGGCAGCAGUGGGGAAUAUUGGACAAUGGGCGCAAGCCUGAUCCAGCCAUACCGCGUGGGUGAAGAAGGCCUUCGGGUUGUAAAGCCCUUUUGUUGGGAAAGAAAAGCAGCAGGUUAAUACCCCGCUGUUCUGACGGUACCCAAAGAAUAGGCACCGGCUAACUUCGUG